UCGCGCUCGCGGCCGGGGCCAGGCCGAGACCGGGGCGUCGCGGCACCAGGCCGGUCGCAGGCCGCGAAGGCCGCCCGGCCCCGGCCCCCGCACGCGGCCCUGUGGUGCCGCCGCGCCCGGCCGCCCCGCUCCCCCCCGCCCCCGCCAGCCCCUGCGGCGGCCGCUUUGGGCUGUGAGCGGUUCCCGGGGAGCCCCGGCGCGGUCCGGCUCCUCCGCGGCCCCUCCUCGGGCUCCCGGGGCGGCCGCGGUCCCGCAGCGCCCGUUACCGGCGCACCCAGAACCCCUUCAGGGACAGGGCUCCGGGCAGGGGAGCGGUUCCUUGCCUAGUUGCCUAAUUUGCAGCGCUCCCGGCAGGAAAUUUAGCCAAAAUGCUGGUUUAUCUCUUGCUCCCGAGACCUGCGUUUUCCGCUAAACGCGGUGAUCUCGGGCAGGGGGUUCAGCCCCCCCCGGCCCUUCAGCCCGGCUCGCCCUGCAAAGAGUUGACCGGCAGCGCCGGCCGGGGGGGUCGGGGGGAGCCAUUUUCUCCCUGUUACCGCUUCACCUUUUGUGCGAAUGCGUCUUGGCCCCGAGAGCCCAGAAAUAAAAAGGGUUUUUAGCAGCUUCUGAGAUUCUGGGGAGUCUCUGUCGUCCUGCCCCGAAGCCUCGGGAAGGGCGCGGGCCGGCUGGUCCCGGGAGCGCGGCAUCGCUGCGGAUGAGCGGUGGCCGUGUUUGGGCACCACUCCGGCAGCCGGUGCUGUGGUCCGGAGCCCUGUGCGCCAGCCGGGGCAGGAGCACGCUCCCCUCCCGGGAAUGCCCAGAUCCUGCUCUUAAAGAUCACCCUCUCCAGGCCAAGGUAAAAGCCGUGGAUGCACCGUGCCCGGCGGUUCUGCUUCCCUUGGCCCGUCACCGUGGCAGCUCGCGCCGGGGGACGUGUCCGGUGCGCGGGGCAGCUCGCUCGUGCUGUCCUAGCCUCCCUGCUCCCACCUAGAGCAGCGCUUGCGCUCCCCUCCUGUCCCCUCCCCGCUCAGGAGGACCUUUUUAGGCCUUGUUUAACCCGAGCGCUGCCUCUGGGUGCCCCAGCCGUGCGCGCUGCACCUGCCGAUGGCCCCUGGGUGCGUGUGACCGUGGGCAGCUUGAGAUUGCGGCCAGGAGCUGCAGCUCCGUGGCGCACAAAAUGGGGCUUUGGUUGACUGCUGCCCAUACAAAAUUGUUUUUCUGCCCUUCCCAUUUCCUGAGAUGCGCUUCAUUAUUGACCCGAGAGGGAAGACGUUGGGAAGCAGCCAGUUUGGUGGAGGCGUUGUUCUGCCGGCCAUGCCUUGCAGGCACCUCCCAGCUCAGACCCGGGCAGGGAAUCCAUCUUCCACCUUCCUGGUAGCCUCUCCUGUGCCUGCUGCUGCACUCGCUUCUCUGCAGAUCCCGCAGAGACCAGGCUCCUGCGUGGGCCCCCGCUCUUGCCAUCUGCUCCCGCAGCAGCGUGGUUUGCAGGUGCUGCUGGGGCGUGCUGUGCAGGGAGUGCCUGCGCUGCGCAACCGUAACGAGCAGCAGGCAGCAAGAACCGCUCGGCAGCUGGACUGCGGAGCCGUCCGGUCCCGCUCCACGGGGAUUUUGUACCGCUGUUGCUUUUCCGACGCAGGUAUCGCAUGAGAGUGUGAGUUAGCACAGUCUGACUGCUGGGUCCUGUCGCUCGCUCUUAGAUCAGUGCAGAGGUGGAGCCGUAAUGAUCGUGAUGGUGCUGGCGUACGUCCAGGGCAGCUCUGCUUACAGCAAUGUUUUUGGCGUUAGCAGCAUCUGCCUGCGGCCUGACCUACCUGCAGCGGUAGGCAGCACCUGCUGCUAGCACGGAGAAUUCCCACACCGGGCAGGGGCAAACUGGUCAGGAUCUGGCCGUUACUGGUGUGGUCUUUCCCAUUCCUCCUGGCAUCACCCUCCCCUUCAGGAGCUCAGUGUGGGUCCGGGUGCCGUGGUGGGCACGGCUCCCUCCUGGCACUGCCGGGAGAAGCAGAGGGCAGCUGCCCCGGAGCCCGGCUCCCCGCGCAGCCGGCAGUGCCAGGUCUCCGCAAGGAGCAGCGGGGCGGCAGAGCAGGUCUACGUGCUGCAGACCGGGGCAGCUCCCCGCAGGGCACUCGGGGGUGUUUUGCAUGGAGGGGGGGGGACUGGUUGCUGCCCCCUUGGGCUGGGGCUGCCGUGGGGCUCCUGCUCCCCCCGCGCAGGUGAGUGCAGACAGCAGAGCCGGGCGAGCAGCAGCCCGGGGCUUGGGGCGAGCAGCCCUGACAAGCCGUGUCUUUAAAACCCACGCCAACGCGAGCACGUGGCCAGCGCUGCAGCCUGCCCCUUGCCCUGCUGUGACGCCAGCGCUGCGCCCACGUCCUCGCCCUGCCGAGGAACCGGGGGCCCUGCGUUGCCUCUCACUCGCGCUGUGGCAGCACGGGCCGCUGUGAGCGUCCAGCACAGAGGGGAAGCCUGAGGCCGAGCUGUGGGCCUGGAGUGGCAUCUCGAGGGCGCGGAGCUCACCCGGCUCCGCAGGAAAGGUUGGGAACUGCCAUGUGUUCCUUAGGCGCACCAGGACAGGGCUUUCCGUCCUUCUGGGCUGAGAAGAUGUGUCUGCCUUGUUCAGCCUGGGCCGGUCCCCCUUCCCCGUGGCAGCGCAUGGCAGAGGGACCCUGCGCGGAGCCGGCGGGGCGCCGAACCGGGGGACACGGAGCUGGAGGCUCCCGGUGCCGCCUCCUGCGCUGGUCUCCCCUCCGUGCCCCGCAGGGAGCGGCACCAGGCAUCUCCCCCGCCUCUGCCCGGGCGUGGGGAGAGCGGAAAGUCCGGCACGUUGUUCUCUCUUGCUGCGCUGGUUGUUUUCUCUUGCAGCUGCUAAUGACUGACCUGAGGUCUCUUCACACACAGUCCCCUGCGCGGCGGAGCGGCGAGACGAGUCGGGGGCAUUUCACAGCACUCGCGUAGCCGCUGGCAGCAGAGCCGCCGGGGCCCUGCCGAGCUCUCCCCGGCCAGCCGGGCCGUGCCUCGCGGGAGCCAGGCGGAGGGGAGCCGCGAGCGCCGCCUCGGCCCAGGACUGCGAAGCCGCGGGAGCCGGGCGGCCCAGGCGGAGCUGCCCGCUGCGGGCCCGAGCCGCGAGCCCGGCUGCCGUGCGGGAUGGGGCCGAAGGACUGGCGGUGGCGAUAGCCGAGGACACGGGCCUGCGCGUGCGAGGUGCCGGGCGUCCUGCCUUCCCUCCCGUCGCCGCAGGUGCAGAGCCAUGGGGAAGGGGCGGGCAGCUGAGCACCGCGGGCUGCACGGGAGCUCGUCCCGUCCGCUGGCCCCCGUGGGGGGAGGAAGGGGGGGAGAGGACGGCAGCGGACUGCUGCUGCCAGGUCCUGGUGGGAGGAGGGACCCUUAGGGGCACUAAAGGCCUCUGCUCUGGCACGUGUGUUUGGAGCAAGCACUCGGUUCCUGGAGCCGCGUGGAGCACUGAGGAGCAGGGCCUGGCACGUGCCUCCCUCCCAGAGCCCCCGUGCAGGGCUUCGCGGCUGUGCUGGCCGCCGCGGCCCGGACGUGCGCGCUGUUAGCCGAUCCGACGGUUGCACUGGUGAACAGUCUGAUCCAGCAUUUUUCUCCUGAGCACAGUGAGAGCUGGGAGUGCAGCGACCUGUCGUGUGUCGGGCACUGCGGGAAGGCGGAGAGCAGACACAGGUCGUGGCAGGCAGUUUGCGGGAGUUACAGCCCUGGAGUGCCAGGAUGGAGAACCAGCCUUGUGGGGAACAGCGUGAGGCGGUGCAGGGGGAACACAGGGACAGAGACUGCCCUGGGUGCCUCUUCCCAGCCCCGCAUUGAUCUCUGGGCGUGGGGCAAACCUGCUGCUCCCUGCUGCCUAGCAGCAAAUUAGCAGUGCGCAUUCAUUAGCUGGGACUCUGUCCUCUCCGGCGAAUAUCCCCAGUGAGUGGCAGUUCGUGAUGGAGAGGGGAUAAGUUAUCAGGCACAUUUUCUCCAGAACAUGUGAUUUUCUUUGCUUGGCCUCCUCCUCUUUCCAUGGGGCAGUGGGAGCUCGGUAGAGACGCAGGGCAGAAAUCUCUGUCUCCAGGAGCCCCGCUCUUGCCGAGCUGCCCUUAGCCUGCAGCCUUUGCUCCUGGCUCUGCUAGCAUGGAUGUCACUGUGCUCUGGUCAUGUUUUCACCUAUCCCCAUCUCUGCUUCUUACAGCUCCUUUAGCGUCCCUAGCUGUGGAGCCCUGCAAAGCCGAGUCCAAGACUAGGGCACUGCCUGAACCACCGCCUCGUGCACCGGUACAGGCGGCGGGAAGCACCUGCAGUGGGGAAACACUCUGCUCAGGGUGUUUUGUGCCUUAUGAAUGCGGAUGGUAGGGGCAGAUCCCCUUCCCUGCAAAGCAUUUCGUUCCGAAAGCACACCACAUUACGUAGGUGAAGUAAUCCGCUAACACCUUCCCAAGUCUUGAUCCAGCAGCAAAGCCCCAAAAUGCCUCCUAAUACGGAUCCCUGCUGCUGCAGGGAGAGCAAAGCAGACUAAUCCCCCGGGAAGCACUUCCUCCACCGGCCGGUGGGCCUAGCCGUGACCAGCCGUGCAUGCGUGUCCCUGCUCCGUUAUUAACCCACUAACCCCGCGAGGAGCUGCGCGGAGACGCCUUCCCAGACGCUCCUGCUAGCGAUGCUGCAAUGCUGAGUAAGUCACUCGUGAAUGAACUAACCAACUAACUGGCUCUAACGCAUGCUCUACUAACCAGUCUUGUUCCACUUUCUACUAACCGGCAACAGCAAAUAAUAUCUUUAAAGGGGAACGGAAAAGCUGGGUAAGUACAUUUGCAAAGUCGUGGACGUUGCCACGUCAGUGACAGAAUCCACAGGCAGAGCCGAACGUUGCAAGCGCUCGUGCAGGCGAGGUGCGGAGCGGGGCUGCUCCGUGCACCCGCCAGCACCUGCGCACGGCGGCUGCUUUCCCCGGCCGCCGGCAGCCCCAGCGAGCCCUGGCGAGCCUCCCUCGCCCCCCGGCCCGGCCCUGCGCGGCCGGCCCCCGGGCCCCUGGAGCGGGGCAGCGGCUGCCCUGCAGGUACAUCGAGGAAGGGACGGUUUCUCCCUUGCGCUGUCACCGUGCGGUGCUGAGGCCUGUGUGUGGCUUCUGUUGCUGACUAGGUGUACUAAAAUGGUUUUAUCAGCAGAAGCUUUUCAGUUCCUUUUUAAGCCAGCAGAUCUCUCUGUUACUAACACAUUCCUGAACUGAAUUAAACUAAUCAUUGCUACUUUUCUCUUCAUUUACCUUCUAAUAUGUAUGUUCUAUAAGUAAGACAGAUUAUGCCAUGCUUCUGUUUACUAACUGCCUGUACUAAUCUUUCCUUACUUGUUUCUGUAUUGCUACUAACAAUAUUCUUUGCACUUUAACUUUCUGACACUAUUCACCAUGACAAAUGAACAAACGGCCUCCUCCUCUCCCCCGGGGACUCUCUCGGUUAUUAACCUGCAGCAGUCUGGUUUUCAGUGCUGCCGGCCAUCUCUGUCUCCUGUUAAGUACAAAGAAAAGGAGGAUGCGCAAGGUGUGUGUGUGGGAGCUUUGAAAAUCUGCCUGUUGGCCUCUUGUUUUCAGAGAAAUUUCAGGAGGCUAAACGAAGCCAAGACACUGAGUGGACGUGUGAUACUGCUGAAACCGUUAUGUUCCUUAUAACGAUUGGUAGUUGCCAUAAAGGUCCAGCAAGCCUAGUUUGCAGAGAGAUUCAGACAAAAAGCAGUGAUGUUUCUGUGAGCCCCGUCAGCAGCUGGGCUCGGGGCUCCCCGGGGCCGCAGUUCCCUGUCACUGGGAAUGGCUUUCGUGCGCCUCCCUGCACCGGCGCUCCCGGGCUCCAGGUUGGAUGCAGGGCGCUCUCAGGCUCUGCAGUUUCUUUGUCUCUCCACAGUUUAUCUGGUGACCUUGAUGCAUGUGGAAAGCCACUGCCAACAGUGUGAUCCCAACUAACCGCAAGGAGCCAAGGGCUAAGUCUAACCGUUUGGUUGGUACUUGCAGUGUUUGUUCCCGGUGCCUAACCCAGCAGAAGGGGAGGGCAGGAGUGGGAGGUGGAUGGGGACGUGCCAGCCGGAGGGCACUCUGCUAUCAACUUGUCCGAUAGAGUUAGGGUGCUGCCAAUGCCAUCCUGCUCUUGAGGCCUUGCUUUUGCUUUCUGUCAGUCUGUAAUUUAGGUUAAACUUCCACUGCAUUUACACUGAUUCUGCCGGGGCUAGAGCUUCAGGAUGUGGCCUAUCUGCAUUGUUUUAGCAUGCAAACUAGUAAUAAUACAUGGUUAAACGUCAUCAGCAUUAGGUGUUGGCUUUUAACAGCAGCCCUGCUGAGAUUACUAACAGGACAAAACUAACCCUUGCAUGCCAGGAGGAGGACGGUGGUCUGUGUUUCUAACUGCACUUGGGUCCUCAGGGCAAAGGCCUGGUUCACAAGGACGUCCAGUGCUCUUCUCUGGCCAUGUGCCAGGCGUGGGCCAGGCGUGUGCCAGGCGUGGGCCAGGCGGGCAGCUGGCUGCUGCAGAGGGGAGAGGAGGGCACACGGGCAGUGGGGAGCCGGGGGGGCUCCUCUCCGUCCGCACUGGAGGUGCAGAGCCGACAGGCAGGGCGGUUCUGCCCCGGUGGUGGUACGGAUCUGGCCUGCCUCCAGUUCCAGCUGCUCACUCUUUGUUCCCCUUUCCUUUUGCUGUGUUAACUAACCCUGUGGCGAGGACGUGCUGUCGUAACCCUGUGCCCCUGGCUGGCUUGAGUCUGACAACUAACAGCUCUUUGCUUUGUGUUGAAACACGUAGACCGAGAGGCCUCCACCGCUGCUGAUCGUGCUGCAAGUCUGCUGCCUGCUUCUGUAGCCGAAGUCCCUCUAACCUCUGGUGUGUGCUAACCCCUGCAGCCUGUUCCUCUCAGCCCGGCACUAACGGCUUGGUGGGAAGUCUUGCUGGGGCUCCUCCUUUCCGUGAACACUCAGUCCCGCACCUGGCAGUGUGAAUGUGCACCCGAAACACCAGCCAGCCCGUCAGCACCAUGGCCCGCCUGACCUCCACAUAACCCGCUGACCACUCAGCAAGGCUGGGAUCAGGAGGGGUUUUUGGGCUGAUGCUCGUCUGCUCAAUUGGAGGCGAUGUCCGCCCCUCCCCACGUCCCCGGGAGGCAGAGGCCCUGCCGCAGGCUGCGGGGCGGAGAGGUAGAUCUGGCCCCGAGGGCAGGAGUGGGGAUGAGGAAGGAGGAGGAGGAGGGAGGAGGACAAGCUGGGUCCCGCUGCGGGAGAGGUGAGUCCCCCUUCCCCAGGGCAGCCUGGUUCGGGGCCUCGGAGCCUGCGCGUUCUCCUAAGGAAACCCGCGGCCUUUGGAGACGAGCGGGGAUCCCUCCUGCCACCCCGAAUAGGGGCUGGCUUUGUCCGAGCGGAGGACAGCCCUCCUCUGCCCCGGGGUGCUCCUGCCUCCCCCCUCCAGGAAGGGCUUCCAGCCCAGCCCCUCUCCGGGAAUGACCUUGCCAAGUUCCCUGGUCACCUACCUAAGGGAGCCGUGGGACCGAGAGCCGCCCCGGGUGGCCCGAAGGCUGCCCCAGUCCUCCUACCCCGGGGGGGGGGGGGGCAGGUUGCCAGCCCCCUCCUCGGCCCUGCCCGGCACCCCGGGGCUCCCUGCCCCGGCCCCCCUCUCCCUGGCUGCUCCUCGGCUCCCUCCCUGCCUUGUCACCGCUGGCAACGCACCAUCCCCGCGGCGGGUGGGACGCGGCGCGGCCAGGUCCUGGCGUGGGGACCCCCGAGGCCACGACGUUGCUGGAGAAGGCAGGAGCCCAGCUUAGGGGACCCUUAUCCUGCUCCUGGGCGAGUCAGGGCCGUUGUGGGGCUGGCGCCUGGCCUGACCUGCCCCUCCGCUGUCCCCGCGGCGGCUGUUACCUGCUGCUGCUGGAUGGCAGCUACGGCACGCGGCCAGCCCGUCCCCUCUUUGCAGAGCCUCGCCGGUGACGUCCCGGGUGCAGCCAGCACACCGGCCAGGCCGUGCCCCGUCUGGGGCCGUGAACAGCAAAGGGGAACACGGGCGGUUUCACUGGGAUGCCGGCGUGGGGCAUUGAACACCCGCUCCGUGCCGCUUGUCCUGGAGGAGCUGCUAAAGCCCCCGGGGCAGCGGCAGGCUGUGUCCGGGGUGUCCUGCACCCCCCUGCCCCGGGAGCGGAGGUUGUCUGCACGCAGAGGACUCACCCGCACGGCCCCGGCCAGGGCCCAGAAACCGGUCUGAAGCGUAAAGCGCGUGUGCAGGAGCUGGGGGUGCGAGCGGGGCAGGUCCCCUUCACGGCCCGCGGUGGCAGCGGGGCCGGGGUGGCCCCAGCAGCAGGCGAGGGCAGGGAGCCCUGGCAGCAGCAGCGGCGUGUGCCUCUCCCGGCACGCUGCAGCCCCGGGGCCGGCCCUGGAGCCCACCGUCCUGCUCUGGGCCGGAUUUCAUUUUAAGGCACGAGAAUUUGAUCCCGUUUCUGCAUCACUUCGCUCCUGCCCGGGCUGCGAAGUGCCCGGUGUCUGGGCACGGCCGUGGGAGGGAGGGCAUCGGAGCUCCCUGGCAGGGAGGCCCGGCAGCCUGUGUCUCCUGCAGAGCCUGCUGUGGCCCCGGCCGUGUCCCUCGCCGUCCUCCACGUGCUCCGGAGCCCUCCGGAGCCAGCGCCGCGGGAGACGGGCCGCCCAGCGACCACCGCGGCUCCCGGCCGGCCCUGCCGACGGAGCCGGGCAGGGAGCGGGGCUGAGCGUGGUGCUGGCGCUGCGGAGAGGGGGCCCGGGGGCUGCCGGCGACGUCCCUUCUGCCUGUAACCUCUGCUGUGAACACGGCGAGUCUGCAAACGCC
Dromaius novaehollandiae (emu) is the source of this 8783-nucleotide long non-coding RNA. RefSeq lists it as uncharacterized. The record is from RefSeq and is a predicted model, not a curated record. Lineage: Eukaryota; Metazoa; Chordata; Aves; Casuariiformes; Dromaiidae. The transcript is spliced from 2 exons.